CCUACGGGUGGCAGCAGUGGGGAAUAUUGGACAAUGGGGGCAACCCUGAUCCAGCCAUGCCGCGUGUGUGAAGAAGGCCCUCGGGUUGUAAAGCACUUUCAGUGAGGAAGAACGCCUGGUGGUUAAUACCCAUCAGGAAAGACAUCACUCACAGAAGAAGCACCGGCUAACUCCGUGCCAGCAGCCGCGGUAAUACGGAGGGUGCGAGCGUUAAUCGGAAUUACUGGGCGUAAAGCGCGCGUAGGUGGCUUGAUAAGCCGGUUGUGAAAGCCCCGGGCUCAACCUGGGAACGGCAUCCGGAACUGUCAAGCUAGAGUGCAGGAGAGGAAGGUGGAAUUCCCGGUGUAGCGGUGAAAUGCGUAGAGAUCGGGAGGAAUACCAGUGGCGAAGGCGGCCUUCUGGACUGAUACUGACACUGAGGUGCGAAAGCGUGGGUAGCAAACAGGAUUAGAUACCCUGGUAGUC
RNAcentral lists this ribosomal RNA (465 nucleotides) under Vreelandella stevensii. RNAcentral describes it as "partial 16S ribosomal RNA". It matches the Rfam family "Bacterial small subunit ribosomal RNA", at positions 338 to 795 of the family's 1533-position model. The record is from RNAcentral. Lineage: Bacteria; Pseudomonadati; Pseudomonadota; Gammaproteobacteria; Oceanospirillales; Halomonadaceae.